This 253-nucleotide ribosomal RNA is filed under the name uncultured bacterium. RNAcentral describes it as "partial 16S ribosomal RNA". It matches the Rfam family "Bacterial small subunit ribosomal RNA", at positions 524 to 776 of the family's 1533-position model. The record is from RNAcentral.
GACGAACCGGACAAACGUUAUUCGGAAUUACUGGGCUUAAAGGGUUUGUAGGCGGCCCCGUAAGUGAGAUGUGAAAUCCCUCGGCUCAACCGAGGAAGUGCAUUUCAUACUGCGGGGCUUGAGGGAGACAGAGGUAAGCGGAACUGAUGGUGGAGCGGUGAAAUGCGUUGAUAUCAUCAGGAACACCGGUGGCGAAAGCGGCUUACUGGGUCUCUUCUGACGCUGAUAAACGAAAGCUAGGGGAGCGAACGGG